Molecule: ribosomal RNA, 253 nt
Filed under: uncultured bacterium
Lineage: Bacteria
Description: partial 16S ribosomal RNA
Rfam family: Bacterial small subunit ribosomal RNA
Source: RNAcentral
UACGGGGGGGGCAAGCGUUGUUCGGAAUUACUGGGCGUAAAGGGUUUGUAGGUGGCCGGCUAAGUCAGACGUGAAAUCCCUCAGCUUAACUGGGGAACUGCGUCUGAAACUGAUCGGCUCGAGUGCAGGAGAGGAACGCGGAAUUCCAGGUGUAGCGGUGAAAUGCGUAGAUAUCUGGAGGAACACCGGUGGCGAAGGCGGCAUCCUGGACCGGCAUUGACGCUGAGGAGCGAAAGCUAGGGGAGCAAACGGG